CGCAUUUCUUCAUUGUUAACAAGUUUGUCUGAAUUUCAACCAACUGCUCUUGGAGGGUAUACCGUGAAAGUGCUCACUGUCACUGGUCGGCUUUGACAUGGAUGCUGCCCAAUGGAAAGGACCCCCAUGGGAGAUGAGUACUUACAGACAAAACCAGUCCGAAUGUUUCUGACAGGGCGGCACAAAGGAUUAAAGACAGAAACAGG
RNAcentral lists this long non-coding RNA (206 nucleotides) under Gallus gallus (chicken). Lineage: Eukaryota; Metazoa; Chordata; Aves; Galliformes; Phasianidae. The record is from RNAcentral.